GCGCCCGGACCGCGGGCAGCCGAACCCGCCCCUGUCCGCCCGCGCCCUAGUCUCCUACUGGUGGAGGUGUGCGGCCCCCUAGCGGGGGAGAAGGGGCAGUGCGGACGCGGGAGAGAGCUGCUGCUGGGCGCGGGUAUAAGAAAGGUCCCUCCUCACCCUCAGCCUGGGCCUGGUCCCCAGAGCCAGCGGUGACUUGGCUUGAGCGUCAGAGGCUGGAAACGCGGCCACAGCUCCAGCACACUACCACAGUAGUAGCUUCUGGAGGCCACUCAUAGUCACCACCUGUCGUAAAGGGGGAACUCGACGAUGAAGGAGCCUUGAAGGAAUUCGCGUCCAGGCCUGCAAGUCUCCUUUUCAGAGCCCUUGAAGAAUGUGAAGAAUGGGAAAAUACCACACCUUUGAGGACAGCAGUGUUUGGCUCCUUGCCUAAGGACAGAGGCAGGUCUUGUACCAAACAAGGAUGUACAGACAACUAAAAAGUAUGCUAAGAAAGAGGAUUCAGAAAAUGGUAGUGAUGCCUUGGCUCACUACAAGUCAACAGAGAGCAUGAAUUCUAUAGACAGAAGAGAAGAUUUGGACACCCAGAGACACCAGGAAUAUAUGCACACAGAGGAAAGAUCAUACGAGGACACAGCAAGAAGGAGGCCAUCUGAUCUUGUACUUCCAGACUCCAGAUUUGUAGGAAAAUAAAUUUCUGUUGCUUAAGCUA
Microcebus murinus (gray mouse lemur) is the source of this 709-nucleotide long non-coding RNA. RefSeq lists it as uncharacterized. The record is from RefSeq and is a predicted model, not a curated record. Lineage: Eukaryota; Metazoa; Chordata; Mammalia; Primates; Cheirogaleidae.